GGAUAGCUCAGUUGGGAGAGUAUGAGACUCUUAAUCUCAGGAUUGUGGGUUCGAGUGCCACGUUGGGCA
Podarcis lilfordi (Lilford's wall lizard) is the source of this 69-nucleotide non-coding RNA. The record is from the annotation of a GenBank genome assembly. Lineage: Eukaryota; Metazoa; Chordata; Lepidosauria; Squamata; Lacertidae.